RNAcentral lists this ribosomal RNA (1617 nucleotides) under metagenome. RNAcentral's name for it is "bacterial LSU rRNA". It matches the Rfam family "Bacterial large subunit ribosomal RNA", at positions 1312 to 2925 of the family's 2925-position model. The record is from RNAcentral.
AAAAUUGAGGUGAGAAUCCUCAACGCCGAAAACCCAAGGUUUCCUACGCGAUGCUCGUCAUCGUAGGGUUAGUCGGGUCCUAAGUCGAGUCUGAAAAGGGUAGACGAUGGCAAAUUGAUUAAUAUUUCAAUACCAACAUACAAGCGCGAUGUGGGGACGCAUAGAGUUAGUCGAGCUCACUGAUGGAAUAGUGGGUCGAAGGACGUAGGCUGUAACUUAGGCAAAUCCGGGUUACAUAAGGCCGAGAUCUUACAGGCUCCUGACACUCUUCGGAGGAGAGGGAGAAUCGAUGAUACUGUCGUGCCAAGAAAAGCCACUAAGUAUAUUGUAUGUUGCCCGUACCGUAAACCGACACAGGUGGGUGGGAUGAGUAUUCUAAGGCGCGUGGAAGAACCCUGGUUAAGGAACUCUGCAAACUAGCACCGUAUCUUCGGUAUAAGGUGUGCCUACUUUGGUAUAUGGACUUGCUCCAAAAAGCUAGAGAGGUUGCAACAAAGAGUCCCUCCCGACUGUUUACCAAAAACACAGCACUUUGCUAACACGUAAGUGGAUGUAUAAGGUGUGACGCCUGCCCGGUGCUGUAAGGUUAACUGAUGAUGUCAGCGCAAGCGAAGCAUUUGAUUGAAGCCCCAGUAAACGGCGGCCGUAACGAUAACGGUCCUAAGGUAGCGAAAUUCCUUGUCGGUUAAAUACCGACCUGCAUGAAUGGCGUAACGAGAUGGGAGCUGUCUCAACCAGGGAUCCAGUGAAAUUGUAGUGGAGGUGAAAAUUCCUCCUACCCGCGGAAAGACGGAAAGACCCCGUGCACCUUUACUACAGCUUGACACUGUAGCUUGGAUAUUCAUGUGCAGGAUAGGUGGGAGGCUAUGAUAUAUGGACGCAAGUACAUAUGGAGCCACCCUUGAGAUACCACCCUUGAAUAUUUGAGUUACUAACUGCGACGAGUUAACCUCGUUCAGGACAAUGUCUGGUGGGUAGUUUGACUGGGGCGGUCGCCUCCUAAAAAGUAACGGAGGCUUACAAAGGUUAGUUCAUGGCGGUUGGAAAUCGCCAGUUGAGUAUAAUGGCAUAAACUAGCUUGACUGUGAGACAUACAAGUCGAACAGAGACGAAAGUCGGUCAUAGUGAUCUGGUGGUUCUGUGUGGAAGGGCCAUCGCUCAAAGGAUAAAAGGUACGCCGGGGAUAACAGGCUGAUCUCCCCCAAGAGCUCACAUCGACGGGGAGGUUUGGCACCUCGAUGUCGGCUCAUCGCAUCCUGGGGCUGAAGUAGGUCCCAAGGGUAUGGCUGUUCGCCAUUUAAAGCGGUACGCGAGCUGGGUUCAGAACGUCGUGAGACAGUUCGGUCCCUAUCUUCCGUGGGCGUAGGAAAGUUGAAGAGAUUUGUCCCUAGUACGAGAGGACCGGGAUGAACGUACCACUGGUGUACCAAUUGUUCUGCCAAGAGCAUCGUUGGGUAGCUACGUACGGAUGUGAUAAGAGCUGAAAGCAUCUAAGCUCGAAGCCAACUCUAAGAUUAACUUUCCCUGAAGUUCCCAGCAAGACUAGCUGGUUGAUAGGCUGGAUGUGUAAGCGUUGUAAGACGUUUAGCUGACCAGUACUAAUAGAACGUCUGGCUC